RNAcentral lists this ribosomal RNA (578 nucleotides) under uncultured bacterium. RNAcentral's name for it is "bacterial SSU rRNA". It matches the Rfam family "Bacterial small subunit ribosomal RNA", at positions 102 to 694 of the family's 1533-position model. The record is from RNAcentral.
ACGGGUGAGUAACACGUGGGCAAUCUGCCCUUCACUCUGGGACAAGCCCUGGAAACGGGGUCUAAUACCGGAUACCACUUCCACUCGCAUGGGUGGGGGUUGAAAGCUCCGGCGGUGAAGGAUGAGCCCGCGGCCUAUCAGCUUGUUGGUGAGGUAACGGCUCACCAAGGCGACGACGGGUAGCCGGCCUGAGAGGGCGACCGGCCACACUGGGACUGAGACACGGCCCAGACUCCUACGGGAGGCAGCAGUGGGGAAUAUUGCACAAUGGGCGAAAGCCUGAUGCGGCGACGCCGCGUGAGGGAUGACGGCCUUCGGGUUGUAAACCUCUUUCAGCAGGGAAGAAGCGAAAGUGACGGUACCUGCAGAAGAAGCGCCGGCUAACUACGUGCCAGCAGCCGCGGUAAUACGUAGGGCGCAAGCGUUGUCCGGAAUUAUUGGGCGUAAAGAGCUCGUAGGCGGUCUGUCGCGUCGGAUGUGAAAGCCCGGGGCUUAACCCCGGGUCUGCAUUCGAUACGGGCAGACUAGAGUGUGGUAGGGGAGAUCGGAAUUCCUGGUGUAGCGGUGAAAUGCGCAGA